GAGAUGACGGUACCACUAGAGAAAGCUCCGGCUAACUUCCGUGCCAGCAGCCGCGGUAAUACGAGGGGAGCAAGCGUUAUUCGGAAUUACUGGGCGUAAAGGGCGUGUAGGCGGCAACUUAAGUCGUGUGUUAAAGACCGGUGCAUACCACCGGAGCGGCAUGCGAAACUGGGUUGCUAGAGUGUAAGAGAGAGGAGUGGAAUUCUUUGGAGUAGCGGUAGAAUGCGUAGAUCUCAAGAGGAACACCGAUGGCGAAGGCAGCUCCUUGGCUUACAACUGACGCUGAGACGCGAAAGCGUGGGGAGCAAACAGGAUUACAUACCCCUGGUAG
This 331-nucleotide ribosomal RNA is filed under the name uncultured bacterium. RNAcentral describes it as "bacterial SSU rRNA". It matches the Rfam family "Bacterial small subunit ribosomal RNA", at positions 466 to 793 of the family's 1533-position model. The record is from RNAcentral.